AAGAUUAUACUUUCAGGGAUCAUUUCUAUAGUUUGUUACUAGUAUUUCUGUAUGCGUUUGGGGUGCAAGUGU
Molecule: small nucleolar RNA, 72 nt
Filed under: Homo sapiens (human)
Lineage: Eukaryota; Metazoa; Chordata; Mammalia; Primates; Hominidae
Description: Small nucleolar RNA U3
Rfam family: Small nucleolar RNA U3 (bases 1-41)
About the family: Small nucleolar RNAs (snoRNAs) are involved in the processing and modification of rRNA in the nucleolus. There are two main classes of snoRNAs: the box C/D class, and the box H/ACA class. U3 snoRNA is a member of the box C/D class.
Source: Rfam by way of RNAcentral